This 497-nucleotide ribosomal RNA is filed under the name uncultured bacterium. RNAcentral describes it as "partial 16S ribosomal RNA". It matches the Rfam family "Bacterial small subunit ribosomal RNA", at positions 28 to 507 of the family's 1533-position model. The record is from RNAcentral.
GAUGAACGCUGGCGGCGCGCCUAACACAUGCAAGUCGAGCGAACAGACGAGGAUCUCGUUCUUCUAACGGUAGCGGCUGACGGGCGAGUAACACGUGGAUCACCAUCCUAUUAGACUGGGAUUACUUCGGAAAAACGGAGCCAAUACCGGAUAAUAUAUUGAACCGCAGGGUGCAAUAGUUCAUGGCAGCUUUUCUGUUACUUUUAGCUGAUUCCGCGCCGCAUUAGCUAGUUGGUAAGGUAACGGCUUACCAAGGCAACGAUGCGUAGCCGACCUGAGAGGGUGAUCGGCCACACUGGAACUGAGACACGGUCCAGACUCCUACGGGAGGCAGCAGUAGGGAAUCUUCAGCAAUGGGCGAAAGCCUGACGGAGCAACGCCGCGUGAGUGAUGAAGGUCUUCGGAUUGUAAAACUCUUUUAUUAGGGAAGAACAAAUGUGUAAGUAACUAUGCACGUCUUGACGGUACCUAAUGAGAAAGCCACGGCUAACUACGUG